Molecule: ribosomal RNA, 414 nt
Filed under: uncultured bacterium
Lineage: Bacteria
Description: bacterial SSU rRNA
Rfam family: Bacterial small subunit ribosomal RNA
Source: RNAcentral
AGAGUUUGAUCCUGGCUCAGAUUGAACGCUGGCGGAAUGCUUUACACAUGCAAGUCGAACGGCAGCACGGGAGCUUGCUCCUGGUGGCGAGUGGCGAACGGGUGAGUAACAUAUCGGAACAUAUCCUAUCGUGGGGGAUAACUAGUCGAAAGACUAGCUAAUACCGCAUACGUCCUGAGGGAGAAAGCGGGGGCUCGCAAGACCUCGCGCGAUUGGAGUGGCCGAUAUCUGAUUAGCUAGAUGGUGAGGUAAAAGCUCACCAUGGCGACGAUCAGUAGCUGGUCUGAGGGGAUGAUCAGCCACACUGGGACUGAGACACGGCCCAGACUCCUACGGGAGGCAGCAGUGGGGAAUUUUGGACAAUGGGCGAAAGCCUGAUCCAGCCAUUCCGCGUGAGUGAAGAAGGCCUUCGGG